AAUCCCGGAAACUGAAAGCAGCGGAUCCAUCAGGCUCUUUAUCGUUAAGAGCAAUACAACAUGACAGUGAAGGACGAUAUGUUUGCGAAGCGAAUAACAUUGGUGGCAAGAAAACAAUCACUUACGAAAUAAAAGUUCUCGAACCGCCUGU
Molecule: long non-coding RNA, 151 nt
Organism: Hyposmocoma kahamanoa
Lineage: Eukaryota; Metazoa; Arthropoda; Insecta; Lepidoptera; Cosmopterigidae
Exons: 3
Source: RefSeq, a predicted model, not a curated record